RNAcentral lists this ribosomal RNA (466 nucleotides) under uncultured bacterium. Its description in RNAcentral is "partial 16S ribosomal RNA". It matches the Rfam family "Bacterial small subunit ribosomal RNA", at positions 28 to 523 of the family's 1533-position model. The record is from RNAcentral.
GAUGAACGCUGGCGGCGUGCCUAACACAUGCAAGUCGAGCGAUCUCUUCGGAGAGAGCGGCGGACGGGUGAGUAACGCGUGGGUAACCUGCCCUGUACACACGGAUAACAUACCGAAAGGUAUACUAAUACGGGAUAACAAACGAAAGUCGCAUGGCUUUUGUAUCAAAGCUCCGGCGGUACAGGAUGGACCCGCGUCUGAUUAGCUAGUUGGUAAGGUAAUAGCUUACCAAGGCAACGAUCAGUAGCCGACCUGAGAGGGUGAUCGGCCACACUGGAACUGAGACACGGUCCAGACUCCUACGGGAGGCAGCAGUGGGGAAUAUUGCACAAUGGGCGAAAGCCUGAUGCAGCAACGCCGCGUAAGCGAUGAAGGCCUUCGGGUCGUAAAGCUCUGUCCUCAAGGAAGAUAAUGACGGUACUUGAGGAGGAAGCCCCGGCUAACUACGUGCCAGCAGCCGCCGUAA